AAGACCUUGCGCUUUUGGAGCGGCCGAUGUCUGAUUAGCUAGUUGGUGGGGUAAUGGCCUACCAAAGCUUCGAUCAGUAGCUGGUCUGAGAGGACGGCCAGCCACACUGGGACUGAGACACGGCCCAGACUCCUACGGGAGGCAGCAGUGGGGAAUUUUGGACAAUGGGCGCAAGCCUGAUCCAGCCAUGCCGCGUGAGUGAAGAAGGCCUUCGGGUUGUAAAGCUCUUUCAGCCGGGAAGAAAAGACUGCGACUAAUAAUCGCAGUUCAUGACGGUACCGGAAGAAGAAGCACCGGCUAACUACGUGCCAGCAGCCGCGGUAAUACGUAGGGUGCGAGCGUUAAUCGGAAUUACUGGGCGUAAAGGGUGCGCAGGCGGUUUUGUAAGUCAGAUGUGAAAUCCCCGGGCUUAACCUGGGAAACU
RNAcentral lists this ribosomal RNA (424 nucleotides) under uncultured bacterium. RNAcentral's name for it is "bacterial SSU rRNA". It matches the Rfam family "Bacterial small subunit ribosomal RNA", at positions 207 to 623 of the family's 1533-position model. The record is from RNAcentral.